RNAcentral lists this ribosomal RNA (253 nucleotides) under uncultured bacterium. RNAcentral's name for it is "partial 16S ribosomal RNA". It matches the Rfam family "Bacterial small subunit ribosomal RNA", at positions 524 to 776 of the family's 1533-position model. The record is from RNAcentral.
UACAGAGGGUGCAAGCGUUGCUCGGAAUUAUUGGGCGUAAAGGGUAGGUAGGUGGUCUCAUUUGUCAGGGGUGAAAGCCUUGGGCUUAACCCAAGAAGUGCCUUUGAAACGGUGAGACUGGAGUCCUGGAGAGGGUCGUGGAAUUCCCGGUGUAGCGGUGAAAUGCGUAGAGAUCGGGAGGAACACCAGAGGCGAAGGCGGCGACCUGGACAGGCACUGACACUCAACUACGAAAGCGUGGGGAGCAAACAGG